UACGUAGGGGGCAAGCGUUGUCCGGAUUUAUUGGGCGUAAAGAGCGUGUAGGCGGCUUAGUAGGUCCGCUGUGAAAACUCGAGGCUCAACCUCGAGAUGUCGGCGGAAACCACUUGGCUAGAGUCCGGAAGAGGAGAGUGGAAUUCCUGGUGUAGCGGUGAAAUGCGCAGAUAUCAGGAAGAACACCUAUGGCGAAGGCAGCUCUCUAGGACGGUACUGACGCUGAGACGCGAAAGCGUGGGGAGCGAACAGG
Molecule: ribosomal RNA, 253 nt
Filed under: uncultured bacterium
Lineage: Bacteria
Description: partial 16S ribosomal RNA
Rfam family: Bacterial small subunit ribosomal RNA
Source: RNAcentral